AAGUCGUAACAAGGUUUCCGUAGGUGAACCUGCGGAAGGAUCAUUAUACGUUUAUCCAACGUACCAACCAACGCGCUCUCGUUUAAACCGAGUCUGUCUGCGAGCUUUCUUAGGUCAUCCAAAAUAUGGUGGGAAUCGCAAGAUUCUGUUUGGGUGGUCGAUCACGAACUCGCGCACUGCAACCAUGUUUUAUAUUUAAUUUUAUUAAACGCAUUGUAAUCACUUGUACUAAUUACGAAAAACAUCUGGUGGCGUGCUUCCCUUUAAACCGGAAGCGCAAAACGAGGUGGAAUUAAGACAUUAAUUGCUGAACAACUCUUAGCAACGGAUAUCUUGGUUCUC
This 342-nucleotide unclassified non-coding RNA is filed under the name fungal sp. RNAcentral describes it as "partial internal transcribed spacer region". The stretch from base 1 to 46 matches the Rfam family "Eukaryotic small subunit ribosomal RNA", at positions 1786 to 1831 of the family's 1831-position model. Lineage: Eukaryota; Fungi. The record is from RNAcentral.